CGCUGGCGGCGUGCUUAACACAUGCAAGUCGAACGGGCGAUUUAAGCUUGCUUAGAUGAGCCUAGUGGCAAACGGGUGAGUAACGCGUAGGCAACCUGCCUCUAAGAUGGGGACAACAGUCCGAAAGGACUGCUAAUACCGAAUGUUGUGAGUUUUCCGCAUGGAGAGCUCAUUAAAGAUGGCCUCUACUUGUAAGCUAUCACUUAGAGAUGGGCCUGCGUCUGAUUAGCUAGUUGGUGGGGUAACGGCCCACCAAGGCGACGAUCAGUAGCCGGUCUGAGAGGAUGAACGGCCACAUUGGGACUGAGACACGGCCCAGACUCCUACGGGAGGCAGCAGUGGGGAAUCUUCCGCAAUGGGCGAAAGCCUGACGGAGCAACGCCGCGUGAGUGAAGAAGGUCUUCGGAUCGUAAAGCUCUGUCGAAGGGGACGAACGUGGGUUCUAUCAACAACGGAACCCUAAUGACGGUACCUUUCAAGAAAGCCACGGCUAACUACGUGCCAGCCGCCGC
RNAcentral lists this ribosomal RNA (512 nucleotides) under uncultured bacterium. RNAcentral's name for it is "bacterial SSU rRNA". It matches the Rfam family "Bacterial small subunit ribosomal RNA", at positions 34 to 518 of the family's 1533-position model. The record is from RNAcentral.